AUCUUUGCGCUUGGGGCAAUGACGUAGACAAUGAGAUUCUAACCGAGACGCGUCUAUUGCUGGUUGAAAACUAUUUCCAAAUCCCCUCUUGAGUCAUGGUUUGACUGUGGUUCUAGAGAAUUUCUGGAAGGAUUUCCACGAGAAAUU
Molecule: small nuclear RNA, 147 nt
Filed under: Cephalotus follicularis
Lineage: Eukaryota; Viridiplantae; Streptophyta; Magnoliopsida; Oxalidales; Cephalotaceae
Description: U4 spliceosomal RNA
Rfam family: U4 spliceosomal RNA
About the family: U4 small nuclear RNA (U4 snRNA) is a component of the major U2-dependent spliceosome.
Source: Rfam by way of RNAcentral